RNAcentral lists this ribosomal RNA (389 nucleotides) under Bothrops pauloensis. RNAcentral's name for it is "partial large subunit ribosomal RNA". It matches the Rfam family "Bacterial large subunit ribosomal RNA", at positions 1962 to 2573 of the family's 2925-position model. The record is from RNAcentral. Lineage: Eukaryota; Metazoa; Chordata; Lepidosauria; Squamata; Viperidae.
UAAUCAUUUGUCUAUUAAUUGUAGACCUGUAUGAAAGGCAAAAUGAGAGCCCAACUGUCUCUUAUAACGAAUCAAUUAAACUGAUCUUCUAGUACAAAAGCUAGAAUACCGACAUAAGACCAGAAGACCCUGUGAAGCUUUAACUAACCUAUUAAACCCAAUAAUAACUACUUUAGGUUGGGGCGACCUUGGAAUAAAAAAGAACUUCCAAUCUAUGACUCCCUCAUAGGAAGGCAAACAAGCCAACACGACCCAGUACAGCUGACAAUUGAAACAAGUUACUCCAGGGAUAACAGCGCCAUCUUCUUUAAGAGCCCAUAUCAAAAAGAAGGUUUACGACCUCGAUGUUGGAUCAGGACACCCCAGCAAUGCAACCGUUACUAAAGGUU